GAUCCUCCUCUCGCUGUCCGGGGCAUGGCGGAGUCAGGUGGGCUGAAGUCGCACGGGGGGCGGAGCGCGAGCAGGAGGCCUUCGGCCCCCCCAGUCCUCUGUAGGACAGCACCCCCUUGCUAGAGAUUAGCAGCUGUUUGCCGAAGGUCGCUCCAGCCCUGGCUCUUUGAAGCAGUUUAAACAGUUGGUGCAAGCACACCGGGAGCCCCGGCCCGUGCGCUGCUAUCGGAGCUGCCACUCCCUGAUUUGGACCUGCAGAACCUUGCCCGCUUUAUCUCGCUCCACCGGCUGACUGUGGCGCCAGUUUCGGGGUUAGGGCUCUGAGCUGGGACCCGGACUUUGCAAGAGGCCAACUGCCCUCUGGCCCCAGGUCCCAUUCAGUUGCUGGUGCUCAAACACCUCUGCCCCAGGGAGAUGGAUGAGUCCACGCUGCAAACUCGUGCUCGCUUACUCGAAGGCCCUCCACUUCUCCCACGUGCCCUGGGCUCGGGGCCCAAGCGGUCACUCAGUAUCACUUCAUCCACCCAGAGCCCAGCAAGCGGGCACAGCUCUAACAGAAUCACCGAAGUGGAUUCUAAGACUCUCAGGGUUCCUUUACACGUACUUACUCUAUUUGGGAAUUUUGAGGUAUGAUCUCAUAAGGCCCCACCUCUCAAGCUGUUUUUAGAGCAGCGUUUCUCAACCGUCGUAAUGCAGCGACCCUUUAAUAUAGUUCGUGUUGUGGUGACCUCCAACUAGAAAAGUAUUUUUGCUGCUACUUCAUAACUAAUUUUGUUGCUAUAAAUUGUAAUGUAAGU
Molecule: long non-coding RNA, 797 nt
Filed under: Mus musculus (house mouse)
Lineage: Eukaryota; Metazoa; Chordata; Mammalia; Rodentia; Muridae
Description: long non-coding RNA chr2:75704867-75705664
Source: RNAcentral